GCGUUAAUCGGAAUCACUGGCGUAAAGCGCACGUAGGCGGCUUGGUAAGUCAGGGGUGAAAUCCCACAGGCCAACUGUGGAACUGCCUUUGAUACUGCCAGGCUUGAGUACCGGAGAGGGUGGCGGAAUUGCAGGUGUAGGAGUGAAAUCCGUAGAUAUCUGGAGGAACACCGGUGGCGAAGGCGGCCACCUGGACGGUAACUGACGCUGAGGUGCGAAAGCGUGGGUAGCAAACAGGAUUAGAUACCCUGGUAGUCCACGCUGUAAACGAUGGGUGCUGGGUGCUGGGAUGUAUGUCUCGGUGCCGUAGCUAACGCGAUAAGCACCCCGCCUGGGGAGUACGGUCGCAAGGCUGAAACUCAAAGAAAUUGACGGGGGCCCGCACAAGCGGUGGAGUAUGUGGUUUAAUUCGAUGCAACGCGAAGAACCUUACCCAGGCUUGACAUCUAGGGAACCCUUCGGAAAUGAAGGGGUGCCCUUCGGGGAGCCCUAAGACAGGUGCUGCAUGGCUGUUGUCAGCUCGUGCCGUGAGGUGUUGGGUUAAGUCCCGCAACGAGCGCAACCCCUAUCUUCAGUUGCCAGCAGGUAAGGCUGGGCACUCUGGAGAGACCGCCCCGGUCAACGGGGAGGAAGGUGGGGACGACGUCAAGUCAUCAUGGCCCUUACGCCUGGGGCUACACACGUACUACAAUGGCGCGCACAAAGGGUAGCGAGACCGCGAGGUGGAGCCAAUCCCAAAAAACGCGUCCCAGUCCGGAUUGGAGUCUGCAACUCGACUCCAUGAAGUCGGAAUCGCUAGUAAUUCGAGAUCAGCAUGCUCGGGUGAAUGCGUUCCCGGGCCUUGUACACACCGCCCGUCACACCACGAAAGUCGGUUUUACCCGAAGCCGGUGAGCUAACUCGCAAGAGAAGCAGCCGUCUACGGUAGGGCCGAUGAUUGGGGUGAAGUCGUAACAAGAUAG
RNAcentral lists this ribosomal RNA (962 nucleotides) under uncultured bacterium. RNAcentral's name for it is "bacterial SSU rRNA". It matches the Rfam family "Bacterial small subunit ribosomal RNA", at positions 538 to 1499 of the family's 1533-position model. The record is from RNAcentral.